CAGCCGCCGCGGUAACCCCAGCGCCACAAGUGGGAACCACGCUUAUUGGGUCUAAAGCAUCCGUAGCCGGUUCUGCAAAUGCCCUGUGAAAUCGUUGCGCUUAACGUAACGGCGUGCAGGGUAGACUACAGAACUAGGGACCAGAGGAAGUAGACGGUAUUCCUGAGGGAGCGGUAAAAUGUGAUAAUCUCAGGAGGACCACCGAUGGCGAAGGCAGUCUACUAAUAUGGAUCCGACGGUGAGGGAUGAAAGCUAGGGGAGCGAUCCGGAUUAGAUACCCGAGUAGUCCUAGCCGUAAACGCUGCAUGCCAGAUGUUACACAAUCUUCGAGAUUGUGUAGUGUCGAAACGAAGGUGUUAAGCAUGCCACCUGGGAAGUACGGUCGCAAGGCUGAAACUUAAAGGAAUUGGCGGGGGAGCACCA
RNAcentral lists this ribosomal RNA (423 nucleotides) under uncultured archaeon. RNAcentral's name for it is "bacterial SSU rRNA". It matches the Rfam family "Archaeal small subunit ribosomal RNA", at positions 459 to 881 of the family's 1478-position model. The record is from RNAcentral.